This 497-nucleotide ribosomal RNA is filed under the name uncultured bacterium. RNAcentral describes it as "partial 16S ribosomal RNA". It matches the Rfam family "Bacterial small subunit ribosomal RNA", at positions 28 to 507 of the family's 1533-position model. The record is from RNAcentral.
GAUGAACGCUGGCGGCGUGCCUAACACAUGCCAGUCGAGCGAACGGACGAGAAGCUUGCUUCUCUGAUGUUAGCGGCGGACGGGUGAGUAACACGUGGAUAACCUACCUAUAAGACUGGGAUAACUUCGGGAAACCGGAGCUAAUACCGGAUAAUAUUUUGAACCGCAUGGUUCAAAAGUGAAAGACGGUCUUGCUGUCACUUAUAGAUGGAUCCGCGCUGCAUUAGCUAGUUGGUAAGGUAACGGCUUACCAAGGCAACGAUGCAUAGCCGACCUGAGAGGGUGAUCGGCCACACUGGAACUGAGACACGGUCCAGACUCCUACGGGAGGCAGCAGUAGGGAAUCUUCCGCAAUGGGCGAAAGCCUGACGGAGCAACGCCGCGUGAGUGAUGAAGGUCUUCGGAUCGUAAAACUCUGUUAUUAGGGAAGAACAUAUGUGUAAGUAACUGUGCACAUCUUGACGGUACCUAAUCAGAAAGCCACGGCUAACUACGUG